This 1536-nucleotide long non-coding RNA is filed under the name Marmota monax (woodchuck). Lineage: Eukaryota; Metazoa; Chordata; Mammalia; Rodentia; Sciuridae. The record is from RNAcentral.
AUUUCUCCUGCCCUGGGGGUGGCCUCCAUGAUUUCACAGCAGAUGGUGCAACCUGGACCUCAAGAGCUGGUAUGAUUGUGUUCAACAGGACAAAAAUGUGUGCAUUUUACUGGAAUUUUCACAAGGAAAUGGGUUUAAUGGAAGUUUCAUCAUAGAAGGAUGCACAUGUUGAGUUCCACUACCAAGUGUGCAUGCGCAUUUCAAGACCUGCACUAGGAGUGUGAGUGAGUCUUGUGAAGCUUUAAAACCAAGCAUGCUUUCUUCUCCAGGCCGGUAUAUACUUUGUAGAGGAAAAAAAAAAUCCUUUUCCUCACCCAUUGCUAGGUUCACAGCUGAGCAGCCCCCAUAACAAAAGACAGUUCAACAAGAGAAAAACAUACUAAUUUAUUUCAAUUUUUUGUGACACAGGAGCCUUGGCAAACGACCCAGAUGAAGAGAGAAACCUGGGAGUUUUUUGCUCAGUUUGGUGAGGAAGCACACUGUUGUGUGGCAGGCAGGGUGACCGGACAAAGGAGGUUUGAGCUAAUGGGAGUCAAUGGGGAGGGGGACUAGCAAGUGCUGUUAGGUCAGAUUCCUGUGUCCCUGUGUCUUCAGAGGUGAGGGAACUCUGUUCCUCCAGGUGGAAGGAAGGCAUUUCUGCAAAGAGCAUCAAUGACCUGCUCUGGCGAAGGAUGGAGGAAGGUGAGAGGGGCCUUCCCGCCUCUGCCGCGAGUGCUGCAUUUUGGGGUAGCAGGUCCUGAACCCCAUCAAUUUGCUGAUCUCUACAAAAUGGACUACUUUUAUCUUCAUUGAAAAUCCAUGGGGAUGCUUUGCUCCCUUUCCAGAUGUUCUCAGUAGGUGUCCCGGUGUCACCUGGUGCCUCCGGAGGACUCAGACAACUGCCAUGAAACCAGAGUGUUCCACUUGCGCGGGGAUAAAAUCUAACCCGAAACGUGGCUCAGCAACUACCCAGAAGUUUGGGCAGCAGCUACAAGAGUUAAAUAUUUACAUGGACCAGGACUUGUGGAAGGAACUUCAUUCCAUGUUAUUGUUACUUAGUUCCUUCUAAAACCUGGCCAGGGGGUAGCACAGGAAAGUUUGAUAUAGCUCUGAGAAGGUCCACAUCUCCAAGAUGGUGUUGAUUUCAAGAAGAGAUCAUUGAAAUGGUUGUCUCAAGUUCCUGUCCACUCCCCUCACUCCGUCCUUAAGUGCAAGGGGUUAGCUUUCAGCAGAACCAUGGGCAGUCAUGCUACUUACAUUCUCAAAUAAUUACCGGACCAUAAGGACAAUAUUUAGGUAAAAAUAAUUAGAACUAAUAAAAUCUGAUAAGAUGAUGGAUACAAAACUCAUUAUUAUGAAAAAGUCACUAGGUUCCAGUGAUAACUAUUUCAAUAUUUAAAAGGAGAAAAAAUUCUCUCACAUUACCAAAAUGAAUUAGUUUGGAAUUCUUAAGAAGUAAUCAGGGCUGGGGUUGUGGCUCAGUGCAGAGCACUUGCCUGGCAUGUGUGAAGCAUUGGGUUCGAUUCUCAGCACCACAUAUCAAUAAAUAAAGGUCCA